This 515-nucleotide ribosomal RNA is filed under the name uncultured Empedobacter sp. RNAcentral's name for it is "bacterial SSU rRNA". It matches the Rfam family "Bacterial small subunit ribosomal RNA", at positions 8 to 523 of the family's 1533-position model. Lineage: Bacteria; Pseudomonadati; Bacteroidota; Flavobacteriia; Flavobacteriales; Weeksellaceae. The record is from RNAcentral.
AGAGUUUGAUCCUGGCUCAGGAUGAACGCUAGCGGGAGGCCUAACACAUGCAAGCCGAGGGGUAUAUUUCUUUCGGGAGAUAGAGACCGGCGCACGGGUGCGUAACGCGUAUGCAACUUGCCCUACUGAAGGGGAUAGCCCAGAGAAAUUUGGAUUAAUACCUUAUAAUAGGAAUUAUGGCAUCAUAAUUCUUUGAAAGAUUUAUCGCAGUAGGAUAGGCAUGCGUAAGAUUAGUUAGUUGGUAAGGUAACGGCUUACCAAGACGAUGAUCUUUAGGGGGCCUGAGAGGGUGACCCCCCACACUGGUACUGAGACACGGACCAGACUCCUACGGGAGGCAGCAGUGAGGAAUAUUGGACAAUGGGUGGAAGCCUGAUCCAGCUAUCCCGCGUGUAGGAUGACGGCCUUAUGGGUUGUAAACUACUUUUAUCUGGGGAUAAACCUACUUACGUGUAAGUAGCUGAAGGUACCAGAAGAAUAAGCACCGGCUAACUCCGUGCCAGCCGCCGCGGUAA